This 253-nucleotide ribosomal RNA is filed under the name uncultured bacterium. RNAcentral describes it as "partial 16S ribosomal RNA". It matches the Rfam family "Bacterial small subunit ribosomal RNA", at positions 524 to 776 of the family's 1533-position model. The record is from RNAcentral.
UACGAGGGGGGCGAGCGUUGUUCGGAAUUACUGGGCGUAAAGCGCACGUAGGCGGCUUUUUAAGUCAGGGGUGAAAUCCCGGGGCUCAACCCCGGAACUGCCCUUGAAACUGGAGAGCUAGAAUCUUGGAGAGGCGAGUGGAAUUCCGAGUGUAGAGGUGAAAUUCGUAGAUAUUCGGAAGAACACCAGUGGCGAAGGCGACUCGCUGGACAAGUAUUGACGCUGAGGUGCGAAAGCGUGGGGAGCAAACAGG